This 483-nucleotide long non-coding RNA is filed under the name Eptatretus burgeri (inshore hagfish). RNAcentral's name for it is "lncRNA (ENSEBUG00000017195.1)". The record is from RNAcentral. Lineage: Eukaryota; Metazoa; Chordata; Myxini; Myxiniformes; Myxinidae.
CAAAUUUGGUGGUUGUCGGUCUUUGCAAAUAACGCUUCUUCUUUUUCAUGUUCAGCCUUUGGCUGCUGGUUGCAUCAUUGGUUGAGUGCAUGGCCAUGCCGCUGAUGCAAUGCUCCUAUUACCAGUACAUUGAUACUCAUUUCGCCAACUUUGGAAGGAUGACAGGCUGAGUCAACCCCACCUGAUGUUACUUCAACGAAGAGAGUGGAUCGAACAAGCCACCCACUGAAGUGGGACAACCAAAGGAAACCCACGGGCAUAGACAAAAGGGAGGAUCGUGCAUGGAGAGAAGAUGAAGAGCCUCGUGAGUGGAGGAAGCCAUUCGGCCGACCACGUGCCUUGUGGUUGCAGCACAUUGAUCAGCGGUUGCAGCAGUUUUUGCACUGCUCGUGGUUGCAGAAGGUUUUUGAUAGCUGUGAGUUGCCGACUCCAACGAAGUAAAGGUAUGCGUCAGCAGAACGUGUUGCAUGCAUGGAACAAGAU